RNAcentral lists this ribosomal RNA (252 nucleotides) under uncultured bacterium. RNAcentral describes it as "partial 16S ribosomal RNA". It matches the Rfam family "Bacterial small subunit ribosomal RNA", at positions 524 to 776 of the family's 1533-position model. The record is from RNAcentral.
UACGAGGGGGCUAGCGUUGCUCGGGAUCACUGGGCGUAAAGCGCACGUAGGCGGAUUGCUAAGUCAGGGGUGAAAUCCUGGAGCUCAACUCCAGAACUGCCUUUGAUACUGGCGAUCUUGAGUCCGGGAGAGGUGAGUGGAACUGCGAGUGUAGAGGUGAAAUUCGUAGAUAUUCGCAAGAACACCAGUGGCGAAGGCGGCUCACUGGCCCGGUACUGACGCUGAGGUGCGAAAGCGUGGGGAGCAAACAGG